RNAcentral lists this ribosomal RNA (433 nucleotides) under uncultured bacterium. RNAcentral's name for it is "partial 16S ribosomal RNA". It matches the Rfam family "Bacterial small subunit ribosomal RNA", at positions 29 to 507 of the family's 1533-position model. The record is from RNAcentral.
AGCGAACGCUGGCGGCAGGCUUAACACAUGCAAGUCGAGCGGGCACUUCGGUGUCAGCGGCAGACGGGUGAGUAACACGUGGGAACGUACCCUUUGGUUCGGAAUAACGCUGGGAAACUAGCGCUAAUACCGGAUACGCCCUUUUGGGGAAAGGCUUGCUGCCGAAGGAUCGGCCCGCGUCUGAUUAGCUAGUUGGUGGGGUAAUGGCCUACCAAGGCGACGAUCAGUAGCUGGUCUGAGAGGAUGAUCAGCCACACUGGGACUGAGACACGGCCCAGACUCCUACGGGAGGCAGCAGUGGGGAAUAUUGGACAAUUGGCUCAAGCCUGAUCCAGCCAUGCCGCGUGAGUGAUGAAGGCCUUAGGGUUGUAAAGCUCUUUUGUCCGGGACGAUAAUGACGGUACCGGAAGAAUAAGCCCCGGCUAACUUCGUG